GAUGAACGCUGGCGGUGGGCCUAAUACAUGCAAGUCGAGCGAACAGACGAGGAGCUCUCGCCCUUGCGGUUAGCGGGAGACGGGCGAGUAACGAGUGGAUAAGCAACCUCUAAGACGGGGGUAAUUUCGGGGAGACAGAUACAAUACCGGCUAAUAUGUUCAACGGGAGGAAUCAGUAGUUAAUGACGGCUUUGCCGAUACUAUUAGCUGGUUCCGGGUCGGAUUAGUUAGUUGGUAAGGUAACGGCUUACCAAGGCGACGAUGCGUAGCCGACCUGAGAGGAUGAUCGGCCACACUGGAACUGAGACACGGUCCAGACUCCUACGGGAGGCAGCAGUGGGGAAUAUUGCACAAUGGGCGCAAGCCUGACGGAGCAACACCGCGUGAGUGAAGAAGGUCUUCGGAUCGUAAAACUCUUUUGUUAGGGAAGAACAAAUGUAUAAUUAUAUCUCCACGUCUUGACGGUACCUAAUCAGAAAGCCACGGCUAACUUCGUG
This 497-nucleotide ribosomal RNA is filed under the name uncultured bacterium. RNAcentral describes it as "partial 16S ribosomal RNA". It matches the Rfam family "Bacterial small subunit ribosomal RNA", at positions 28 to 507 of the family's 1533-position model. The record is from RNAcentral.